UAGCUGUGAUGAUAUUGGCUUCAGCGAUGGUUGGGUCCUUCGCAUUCUUCUGAACCAUCAGUUGAUAUCUGCCACACCUCUGAGCUC
Molecule: small nucleolar RNA, 87 nt
Filed under: Arabidopsis lyrata subsp. lyrata
Lineage: Eukaryota; Viridiplantae; Streptophyta; Magnoliopsida; Brassicales; Brassicaceae
Description: small nucleolar RNA snoR114
Rfam family: small nucleolar RNA snoR114
Source: Rfam by way of RNAcentral